UGGGGAAUAUUGCACAAUGGGGAAAGCCCUGAUGCAGCGACGCCGCGUGAAGGAAGAAGUAUCUCGGUAUGUAAACUUCUAUCAGCAGGGAAGAUAGUGACGGUACCUGACUAAGAAGCCCGCUACUACGUGCCAGCAGCCGCGGUAAUACGUAGGGGCGAAGCGUUAUCCGGAUUUACUGGGUGUAAAGGGAGCGUAGACGGAGCAGCAAGUCUGAUGUGAAAGGCAGGGGCUCAACCCCUGCACGUGCAUUGGAAACUGUUGAUCUUGAGUACCGGAGGGGUAAGCGGAAUUCCUAGUGUAGCGGUGAAAUGCGUAGAUAUUAGGAGGAACACCAGUGGCGAAGGCGGCUUACUGGACGGUAACUGACGUUGAGGCUCGAAAGCGUGGGGAGCAAACAGGAUUAGAUACC
RNAcentral lists this ribosomal RNA (412 nucleotides) under uncultured bacterium. RNAcentral describes it as "bacterial SSU rRNA". It matches the Rfam family "Bacterial small subunit ribosomal RNA", at positions 355 to 786 of the family's 1533-position model. The record is from RNAcentral.